GGAGGAUUAGCUCAGUUGGUCCAGAGCACUUGCAUCACACGCAAGGGGUCGUGGGUUCGAAUCCCACAUCCGCCA
Molecule: transfer RNA, 75 nt
Filed under: Acetilactobacillus jinshanensis
Lineage: Bacteria; Bacillati; Bacillota; Bacilli; Lactobacillales; Lactobacillaceae
Also listed under: 1 other name
Rfam family: tRNA
About the family: Transfer RNA (tRNA) molecules are approximately 80 nucleotides in length. Their secondary structure includes four short double-helical elements and three loops (D, anti-codon, and T loops). Further hydrogen bonds mediate the characteristic L-shaped molecular structure. tRNAs have two regions of fundamental functional importance: the anti-codon, which is responsible for specific mRNA codon recognition, and the 3' end, to which the tRNAs corresponding amino acid is attached (by aminoacyl-tRNA synthetases). tRNAs cope with the degeneracy of the genetic code in two manners: having more than one tRNA (with a specific anti-codon) for a particular amino acid; and 'wobble' base-pairing, i.e. permitting non-standard base-pairing at the 3rd anti-codon position.
Source: Rfam by way of RNAcentral